This 159-nucleotide non-coding RNA is filed under the name Nocardioides sp. The record is from RNAcentral. RNAcentral also lists the same sequence under 1 other name. Lineage: Bacteria; Bacillati; Actinomycetota; Actinomycetes; Propionibacteriales; Nocardioidaceae.
GCCUGACCGACGGCACGAGGUGCCCCGAACGCUGCGACUCGGCGGAGGGGAGAAUCUGGGAAGCCGGUGAGAGUCCGGCACAGGCCCGCUGCGGUGACCCGUGGCUGUGGAGACACAGACCCGGGAAGUCCGAAGACCGGCCUCGCGCCACGCAUCAUC